UAGCCGUACCAUGCAAGUCGAGCGGAUGAAGGGAGCUUGCUCCUGGAUUCAGCGGCGGACGGGUGAGUAAUGCCUAGGAAUCUGCCUGGUAGUGGGGGACAACGUUUCGAAAGGAACGCUAAUACCGCAUACGUCCUACGGGAGAAAGCAGGGGACCUUCGGGCCUUGCGCUAUCAGAUGAGCCUAGGUCGGAUUAGCUAGUUGGUGAGGUAAUGGCUCACCAAGGCGACGAUCCGUAACUGGUCUGAGAGGAUGAUCAGUCACACUGGAACUGAGACACGGUCCA
This 286-nucleotide ribosomal RNA is filed under the name Aquipseudomonas alcaligenes. RNAcentral's name for it is "Pseudomonas alcaligenes partial 16S ribosomal RNA". It matches the Rfam family "Bacterial small subunit ribosomal RNA", at positions 54 to 333 of the family's 1533-position model. The record is from RNAcentral. Lineage: Bacteria; Pseudomonadati; Pseudomonadota; Gammaproteobacteria; Pseudomonadales; Pseudomonadaceae.